Non-coding RNA from Acanthosepion pharaonis, 110 nucleotides. The record is from the annotation of a GenBank genome assembly. Lineage: Eukaryota; Metazoa; Mollusca; Cephalopoda; Sepiida; Sepiidae.
CGCCAUAUCAUGUUGAAACUUCGCUUCCCGUAUAACCACCGAAGUUAAGCAGCGUCGAGCCUGGUUAGUACAUAAAUGCAUGACCGCUUGAGAAUCCCAACUGUUGUAAU